AACAGGCUUAUCUCCCCCAAGAGUCCACAUCGACGGGGAGGUUUGGCACCUCGAUGUCGGCUCAUCACAUCCUGGGGCUGUAGUAGGUCCCAAGGGUUGGGCUGUUCGCCCAUUAAAGUGGUACGCGCGCUGGGUUCAGAACGUCGUGAGACAGUUCGGUCCCUAUCCGUCGCAGGAGUAGGAAAUUUGAGAAGACCUGUCCUUAGUACGAGAGGACCGGGAUGGACGUACCUCUGGUGUACCAGUUGU
RNAcentral lists this ribosomal RNA (249 nucleotides) under Clostridioides difficile. Its description in RNAcentral is "partial 23S ribosomal RNA". It matches the Rfam family "Bacterial large subunit ribosomal RNA", at positions 2476 to 2724 of the family's 2925-position model. The record is from RNAcentral. Lineage: Bacteria; Bacillati; Bacillota; Clostridia; Peptostreptococcales; Peptostreptococcaceae.